RNAcentral lists this ribosomal RNA (460 nucleotides) under uncultured bacterium. RNAcentral describes it as "partial 16S ribosomal RNA". It matches the Rfam family "Bacterial small subunit ribosomal RNA", at positions 338 to 795 of the family's 1533-position model. The record is from RNAcentral.
CCUACGGGAGGCAGCAGUGAGGAAUCUUGGUCAAUGGGCGUAAGCCUGAACCAGCCAAGUCGCGUGAGGGAUGAAGGUUCUAUGGAUCGUAAACCUCUUUUCUAAGUGAAUAAAGUGUGGGACGUGUCCUAUUUUGUAUGUACCUUAUGAAUAAGGAUCGGCUAACUCCGUGCCAGCAGCCGCGGUAAUACGGAGGAUCCGAGCGUUCUCCGGAUUUAUUGGGUUUAAAGGGUGCGUAGGCGGCCUUUUAAGUCAGCGGUGAAAGUAUGUGGCUCAACCAUAGAAUUGCCGUUGAAACUGGGGGGCUUGAGUAUGUUUGAGGCAGGCGGAAUUCGUGGUGUAGCGGUGAAAUGCUUAGAUAUCACGCAGAACCCCGAUUGCGAAGGCAGCCUGCCAAGCCAUGACUGACGCUGAUGCACGAAAGCGUGGGGAUCAAACAGGAUUAGAUACCCUUGUAGUC